UGGCGCACGGGUGCGUAACGCGUGGGAACCUGCCCUUAGGUUCGGAAUAACUCAGAGAAAUUUGAGCUAAUACCGGAUAAUGUCUUCGGACCAAAGAUUUAUCGCCUUUGGAUGGGCCCGCGUAGGAUUAGAUAGUUGGUGGGGUAAUGGCCUACCAAGUCGACGAUCCUUAGCUGGUCUGAGAGGAUGAUCAGCCACACUGGGACUGAGACACGGCCCAGACUCCUACGGGAGGCAGCAGUGGGGAAUAUUGGACAAUGGGCGAAAGCCUGAUCCAGCAAUGCCGCGUGAGUGAUGAAGGCCUUAGGGUUGUAAAGCUCUUUUACCAGGGAUGAUAAUGACAGUACCUGGAGAAUAAGCUCCGGCUAACUCCGUGCCAGCAGCCGCGGUAAUACGGAGGGAGCUAGCGUUGUUCGGAAUUACUGGGCGUAAAGCGCACGUAGGCGGCUUUUCAAGUCAGGGGUGAAAUCCCGGGGCUCAACCCCGGAACUGCCCUUGAAACUGGAUGGCUAGAAUACUGGAGAGGUGAGUGGAAUUCCGAGUGUAGAGGUGAAAUUCGUAGAUAUUCGGAAGAACACCAGUGGCGAAGGCGACUCACU
RNAcentral lists this ribosomal RNA (599 nucleotides) under Qipengyuania flava. RNAcentral describes it as "bacterial SSU rRNA". It matches the Rfam family "Bacterial small subunit ribosomal RNA", at positions 96 to 730 of the family's 1533-position model. The record is from RNAcentral. Lineage: Bacteria; Pseudomonadati; Pseudomonadota; Alphaproteobacteria; Sphingomonadales; Erythrobacteraceae.